Molecule: ribosomal RNA, 468 nt
Filed under: uncultured bacterium
Lineage: Bacteria
Description: partial 16S ribosomal RNA
Rfam family: Bacterial small subunit ribosomal RNA
Source: RNAcentral
GAUGAACGCUGGCGGCGUGCCUAACACAUGCAAGUCGAGCGAUUCUCUUCGGAGAAGAGCGGCGGACGGGUGAGUAACGCGGGGGUAACCUGCCCUGUACACACGGAUAACAUACCGAAAGGUAUGCUAAUACGGGAUAAUAUGCUUUAGUCGCAUGGCUGAAGUAUCAAAGCUCCGGCGGUACAGGAUGGACCCGCGUCUGAUUAGCUAGCUGGUAAGGUAAUGGCUUACCAAGGCGAAGAUCAGUAGCCGACCUGAGAGGGUGAUCGGCCAAAUUGGAACUGAGACACUGUCCAAACACCUUCUGAAAGGAGCGGAAGGGAAUAUUGCACAAUGUGCAAAAGCCUGAAGCAUAAACGCCGCGUGAGCGAUGAACGCCUUCGGGUCGUAACGCUCUGUCCUCAAGGAAGAUAAUGGCGGUACUUGAGGAGGAAGCCCCGGCUAACUACGUGCCAGCAGCCGCGGUAA